UACGUAGGUGGCGAGCGUUAUCCGGAUUUAUUGGGUUUAAAGGGUGCGUAGGCGGGCUUUUAAGUCAGCGGUAAAAAUUCGGGGCUCAACCCCGUCCGGCCGUUGAAACUGGGGGUCUUGAGUGGGCGAGAAGAAGGCGGAAUGCGUGGUGUAGCGGUGAAAUGCAUAGAUAUCACGCAGAACCCCGAUUGCGAAGGCAGCCUUCCGGCGCCCUACUGACACUGAGGCUCGAAAGUGUGGGUAUCAAACAGG
This 252-nucleotide ribosomal RNA is filed under the name uncultured bacterium. RNAcentral describes it as "partial 16S ribosomal RNA". It matches the Rfam family "Bacterial small subunit ribosomal RNA", at positions 524 to 776 of the family's 1533-position model. The record is from RNAcentral.